UGGAAGAAGCGAUGUUGGUGAGGUUCAAUCCGAAGACGGUUUUACGAUUUGUUAUUCGUAAAUAUCGAUCUCAGAUUGAGCCGCGCCAAUAUCACUUUCUAUAAU
Non-coding RNA from Capsicum annuum, 105 nucleotides. NCBI's taxonomy places the organism in Eukaryota, Viridiplantae, Streptophyta, Magnoliopsida, Solanales, Solanaceae. The record is from Rfam.